Molecule: long non-coding RNA, 229 nt
Filed under: Capsicum annuum
Lineage: Eukaryota; Viridiplantae; Streptophyta; Magnoliopsida; Solanales; Solanaceae
Description: long non-coding RNA (CANN_LNC020577)
Source: RNAcentral
CAUCAAAUCCUUCAACAACCUGACCAAAAACAACGUGCUUUCCAUCAAGCCAUUCAGUCUUAGCAGUGCAGAUGAAGAAUUGUGAACCGUUGGUUCCAGGUCCAGCAUUAGCCAUGGAUAGAACUCCAGGUCCGGUGUGCUUCCUCUUAAAGUUUUCAUCAGCAAACUUAGCGCCGUAAAUCGAUUCUCCUCCAGUACCGUUUCCGGCGGUGAAAUCACCUCCUUGACA